RNAcentral lists this long non-coding RNA (1035 nucleotides) under Balaenoptera musculus (blue whale). Its description in RNAcentral is "lncRNA (ENSBMSG00010018355.1)". The record is from RNAcentral. Lineage: Eukaryota; Metazoa; Chordata; Mammalia; Artiodactyla; Balaenopteridae.
GUGCACACCUCCAAAUGGGAGGGGGUCCCCAAAGCCGUGCCCUGGCGACCCCUGCAAAGUCCACAAGUAACUCCGCACGCUGGGCGGCAUCGGGGCGCGCGCCUCCCGUACCCCAUAGACUCUCCCCUCCGAAGGCAAUCAGGCCGAAACUCACGUUCGCCCCUUCCCUUCCGAGCGUCGCGUCCGGGCCGGGGCCCGGCGGCGCCCAGCCCGCGCCCUUCGCCGACCCGGAGCCCCCUGACCGUCAACACGAAGGCGGUCCGGGAGACAAAGCCCGGGACUCGCGGUCGGAGCGCCCGGGGCAGCGGAGAGCCUGCAACUCGCCGCCCGUCCGCUGCCGCGCUCCGCCGGGCAGCUGAGGGCUCCGCACGCCGCGUCUCUGGUCCGCGCUGCCCCGGCCGCAGCCGCCGGGAACAUCCUCCGCCUCCUCCCGCUCCUCCCCUCGCGCACUGCGCCCGCCGCCGCCGGCACCGCCGACCUCCCCGCGCCGCUGGCGCCGGGUGCCCGCGCUCCCAAUUGGCCCUCGUGCGGUCGCUCCGCGCCACAGCCAAUCGCCUGCGGCGGCGGGGGCGGCGCCUGCCCGACAGGCCGCCAAAGGCCAGGCGAUUGUUGACAAACUCGCCUCCGAAAGCGGCUCCGGCCGUCGCUGCGGCGGUAGCCGCGGCGAAGGUUUCCGCGGCCUCGGGGCCGGAGGCUGCCCAGGCUACCCCGCCCCGCCCCUCCGCCAGUCCGGUCGCCGCGCGCGCCUCCGCAGCUCCCGCCGCGCCCAGCAGCCAGUCACCUAGAGACAAAACAGGACCCUCACGGCCGGCCCCAGACUCCAGUCCCAGCAGCCGACCCCCGCCCAGGCCCGCUAGGGUGCGGACCCCAAAGGUCACCCCCUCCCCAGCUGUAGCCCCCAUCCUCCUCCAACUUCCUCUCUCUUUCUCCCCGUGCACCACGGGACACGCACCAAAUCUGAGCGGCUACCACUGGCCACCGACGCGCAUUUCCGCGCGCACCCGUGACCACCGCAGACAAGGAACACAUCCAUAG